This 22-nucleotide non-coding RNA is filed under the name Arabidopsis thaliana (thale cress). The record is from RNAcentral. Lineage: Eukaryota; Viridiplantae; Streptophyta; Magnoliopsida; Brassicales; Brassicaceae.
UCCUUUGUUUCAGAUCUGUUGC